RNAcentral lists this ribosomal RNA (298 nucleotides) under uncultured bacterium. RNAcentral describes it as "partial 16S ribosomal RNA". It matches the Rfam family "Bacterial small subunit ribosomal RNA", at positions 790 to 1084 of the family's 1533-position model. The record is from RNAcentral.
GUAGUCCACGCCGUAAACGAUGGAUACUAGCUGUUGGGCGUAUCGACCCGCUCGGUAGCGAAGCUAACGCGUUAAGUAUCCCGCCUGGGGAGUACGGCCGCAAGGCUAAAACUCAAAGGAAUUGACGGGGACCCGCACAAGCGGUGGAGCGUGUGGUUUAAUUCGAGGCUACGCGAAGAACCUUACCAAGGCUUGACAUCCUGGUCGCACGUCUAAGAAAUUAGAUGGUCAUUUAGUUGGACCAGUGACAGGUGAUGCAUGGCCGUCGUCAGCUCGUGUCGUGAGAUGUUAGGUUAAG